Molecule: long non-coding RNA, 1677 nt
Organism: Numida meleagris (helmeted guineafowl)
Lineage: Eukaryota; Metazoa; Chordata; Aves; Galliformes; Numididae
Source: Ensembl
CUUUUCUCGCAGGCACAGUGUGGCUAUUUUAUGUACAUGGCAUAUGUGUUUGAGGAAGCAUGGGGAGGCCUAGAAGACAGCAAAGCCCCCAGCUUUCCAAGAUGUGCCCCUGAAGAAUGGGAUCAGGCAUCUCAUGCUCCUCUUGCCUUGUAACAUUCAGUGCUGCUUUUUCAGAGCAAAGAGGAACUGAAGUGACUUAACUCACCUGCAGUCAACUCACACUAAGUCUGUGCAGCACUGACUUUGCUGAUAGCUGUGAGGAAUUUGCAUUUUUUAGGCUGUGAAAUAACUCAGGCAAUGACAGGUAAAUUAGACAGAUGUAUGAUAAGGCCUCACCAGGAUCUUCUGUGUGUUCUUCUGAGCUCAGACAGGAGGAGUAGCUACUGUGCAGCCAGAUGGUUUCAUUUUUUCAAGAAGAUUAAUUACCUGGCAUUGACUGGCCUAGCCCUGGCAUCUGAGAAAUGAGUACUCAGGGCAACAAGUGAUCUACAUAGUUGUCCCCUCUGGAGCCAGCUGGAAGAGUUCAGUGGACUUUUCCUCAGGCUGUUGGUGCCUAGAUGUUGUGUGGUGCUAUAUGUUCCACUGUUUCAGUUCUUGAGCUGUCUGUUGAAGCUUGUGUAAUGGGCAUGUAAGCGUAUUAAGGAAGGAAUGACCGAAGUCUGAGUGUAUUUUCAGGAUCCUCUGUCACAGUGAGGAUCAGCACUCCUGAUGACUUCAUGACUCCCCCUCUUCCUGCUUACCAGGAGGGGUGUCUGAGCCUGACAAGCGUGAUGAGUCUGAAUCAGAGAUAUGGCUACAGAGAAGAGCACGUGCUUGUCUCCUGGAUAUUCCUGCAGCUCUGCAGAAGCACUCUGAACAGCCACAAAAAGGUGACUAUUUAUAAAACAGAAACUGUUUCAUAGAAGUUGAUUUCUGUGAUUCGAACUGGGGAAGAACAACAGUGUCCUGUGAUGCAGAGUAAGUUGUGAUAAUAGAGCUAUUAAUACUUGAUUUUCCCUCUGAAUCAGAAAAAAAAUUCAUACCUGUUGAAGGGCAGGCUAGGUUAUUGCAAUGCUACCUUUUGGCACAGUGCAGGUUCACAGUUUCUACUGAAAUGGAGAUCAGGUUCUCAAAAUAUCAUCUACAGGGUAAAGAGAAAGAUCACAUAUGUGUGUUCUACCUUCAGCUGGGGAACAUAGGCUGAAAUUUUGAGGAAAGAGAAGAUGGCCAAGAUUUCUUGUUGAUGAUUCUUGAUGUUUUUGGUUAUGGACAGCCUUCUGUUCUCUAGCAGCCUGUAUUUUCCCAGUGAAACACAACUAUGAAGACAUGUGGAAAACAAUCAAAAAACAUAAGUAGGGAUGACUUCAUGACAAGAAACCAUGUUUCUAAGGGUUUAUGGAAAAAGAGAGUAAAGCAUUCUUAUCUUUGCACUUGCCUGUAAAAAACAAACACACACAAAAAACCACAACAAAAUAUGAUGCCAUGUCAAAAUUCCCUAUUAAUUCUUCUUUGGUGCAUGUUUUCAAAGGUUUUGGGAAGCACAGUGUUGUUUUUAUGUCCUAAAGCUGUACUGAUGGAUGUUUGCUUAACAUGAGUCAAGACCACGAGCAGGGAAACUAAUGUUCUUCUUCCAUCAUCAUGGAACAGUUUGUGCAGAGCUUGCCUCUGAAGACAACUAGAGAUAUCCUUGUCCUUUUC